This is a non-coding RNA of Pelobates cultripes (western spadefoot toad), 341 nucleotides long. The record is from the annotation of a GenBank genome assembly. Lineage: Eukaryota; Metazoa; Chordata; Amphibia; Anura; Pelobatidae.
GCGAUGUAGGUGGAAGCAGCGGUGGAGGAGGAGGAUGAGGUAGCCAACACUGUUUUUUAUAUAUAUAUUUUUGAAUUGGGGUAGCCCCAAAAUAUUGGGACAUAUAAAAAAAGACAACUCUGUUCCACAGAGUAGCUGUUGACAUUAAAGUUGCGCAGGCACUUUGUUGACUAGAGAACCUUGGGCCAAUUGCACAUCCCUGUGUCGGCGACUUUGCAUGCAGAUGUCAUCCAUAUCAGUUUCUGCACCUACCAUGGUGACCACAGGUAAUGGGGAAUCAGAGUUCCAUUCCAUUCAGGGACCCUGAGAAAUGGCUACCACAUGCAAGGAAGGCAGCAGGC